UGUAUAUUUUCCUUCUUCUUUUUUUGUGUGUAUGUUGCUGAGGAUUGAACUCAGGGCUUUGUGCCUGCAAGACAAGCACUCUACUCCAACUGAACUAUAUCCCCACCCCUAUUUUCCUACUUCUUGAUGACUAAAGGAUUGGCAAAUUGGGCAGAAAAAGACAAAGUAACUUAACCUAAGGGCACCCCGUCAAUGCUGGAGAUCAGACGAUCAAGCUUCAGCAAAGAAUUCCUGUCACAACAUUAAAGAAAUAUGGACAGUCUUCAGCGUUGCAAUUGAUAAUGAACAAAUAUGAAAAUAAAACCAUGGCUAAUCACAAAAGACAGAGAAAGAAAUUAGGAUUUUGGAAAGGAGGAAAAUCAGUAAGUAGUCACUUACGUAGGAGUAGCACGGUUGGAACAAUGCCAUCAGUCCAACUUGACCAUCCUUUAAGUCUGGCAUAUAAAUGACACCUCUCUGUAGGUUCACCAUACUGGAUUCCUUUGAAUGAUUUGACCUAAUAUGAACAUGAUACCUCUUUUCUACUCUCUCAAAUCUUCCAGCUCUAUUUUUACUGAUCAUUAUUCAGCUUUCAUCUGGGUUAGCCUCUUAUGUGCUACAUAUGUAUCUUUAUAUCCAUGACCUCACUCCUAGGAAUAUAUUUGUGAGAGAACAGGAUAAAUUGCAGUCCUGAUGUGAACUGCCUCCCAGGGUGGCAUGCCUACAUGCUUUGCCUUGGGCUAAUGGGCAGGACUUGAACAGAUGUGAUAGAAACUCUCACUGCUGUUUUAUCAGUUAAUGUUGAUUGACUGUAAUACUAUAGUGGCUGCUAGAAGAAAUUUGCAAAGGAAAAAAUGCCUCUUGAGAGUAGUAAUAUUUAUAUGCCUUAGACUUGCACAAAGAAAUUUUGAAAGAAGGAAUGGUUACUGAAAGUGGCCUCCUACUUUGCAUAUCCUUUUAAACUUGUUUGUAAAAUUUUAAUUGUACAAACUUAUGGUGUACAGUGUCAUAAUUAAAUAUGUGUAUAAGUGUGUAAUGAUCAAAUCAGGAUGGUUAACAUUUUCUUUUUCUUAAAAAAACUUUUGUAGUUCAUAUAUAAUAAUUGCACAUAUUUGUGAAGUUUAUAUGUCUUCAUAUACUGUCAAAAUGACUAACUUUGUCUUUUUCUGUGGGAAAGAAGUUGGGUUACACUUAGGUAGAAACCAUUAUUGAAGGAGUAAAUGUGAUAUAAAUCAAUAGGAAUGAACUUUGGAGUUAGGAAGGCUAACUCUGAAUCAGUCAUUGGGAAAUCCCAGACAAACUUCUUUGAGACAUUUGUGAUUAGGUGUCUAAAACUAAGGCUAUGAAUUUCUUCAUAAGAUAGUUUUGAAUAUUUGAAGAAAAAAUUACAUUAAAGACAGAAUAGGUUCUCAAAGGCAUUAGUUGAUCAAUUAAUGCUUAAAUAUGUUUUUGUCUAGAUGAAAAUAUAUUCACUCUUUUUUAUAAAUAUAAUUCUGACCUUUGUUAAUGUAUUGAAACUAUUGCUACAUCUCAAUGUGAGGGCUUCAUUCAUUCAUUCAUUCAUUCAUUCAUUCAUUCAUCUUGCAAAUUAAUGCAUAUGUGUGUACACAAAGAAAAGUGUGUUCAUGGCUGCUCACUCCCACAUUCACCUUUAGAUUCUGAUACUUUGUGAAAUUUCUGAAGCCCAUUUAGUUUUUCUCCAUGUUUAUGAAUCACAGAAUAAGCAACUUUGAUUUAGAGUCUCUAUCUCAUGACAUUUGUUUGGAUGAUUAACUUGAUAUAGCAGCCACUAACAAUGCAAUCUGCCAAAUGGUUCUGCAUUCCUUUGUCUGCUCUGAGUAGGUCCAUGUUGGCUAAAGAAUCAGGAAAGAAAUUUCUAAAAUUUGAUUUUCUUUUGUAAAAGCAGGUUGGCUAUAUUCCAAGGGAGCAAAGCCAGAUUGUCUUUGGAAAUUGAAACUAAAACUCUGCUCUUGUGAUCAGAGACCUGAGUGCUAUGAUUCAUUAAUACUAUUUUGAUAUCCAGUACUUGAAAAAUACUCUGUAUGAACAAUUGGGGAGUCUAGCAAAAUAGUUUUGACAUUUUGCUAACAUUAGUGCUUCAACACUGAACCAUCUGCUAGAGAGUUCCAAGUCUGAAUGAAAGGUGUAAACCUGGAUUAGCAUCGAUAUGGUUUUUUAUCAAGUUUGGCUUAUUCUCAUCUCACUGGAUGUUUUCCAGGUCCCUUUGGAAGCCAAGAUUGCCAUUGUAGAGUGCAGUGCCAUAUGUUAAGAUUCAUAUGACAUAUUACCUAAAAGUCAUGAAUUAUUAUACCGUGUCUCUUUACGGAGCUGUGAUUAGAAAUGUUUAUGUAAAUGUACCUCCAAAGAAAAAUGGUACCCAGUGUUGGGCAACAGUUUGCAUGGUAGCACUGAGAUUCCCUGCCUCCAUCAGAGUGUAUCUCAAAGACAGUCUAAUCCUGGGAUAAUGAAAAACCAAUACCUUUUUCUAAAUGCACUGAUUUUGGACAGGGGAGAACAGAUUAGAGAGCUAUUAGGAAUAAGCCAAUAACUUCCUUUACAAAGCAAUAAAAUCACUAAGAAAAGUGAAAUGACUCUAAAGCUAACCAAAAUGUCUGUGUUUAAGGGAAAAUUUUUUUUUAAAUGGAAAAAUAACAUGUCAUGUUACUAAAAAAAUGAAUGUCAAUGUUUUUUUCAGUUUAAUAUUUAAAAACAUAUGUGUAUAUACACAUAUAUAUGCACACAUGAACAAUUAUUUAUCCACACACACAAACAUAUGCAUUAUAAUUUCUAAUUGGUAAUUAGAUAAUAUAGGCUACAAAUGGAACUUGACAUCUUUUUCUCAUGUUAUUAAAGAAGUGAAUUAGUAGAGCUCAUCUUGAGAUCUGAAAACAUACAUACAUAGUACUUUGGUUUUUAAGGGCUUUGAACUGCUAGCUCUUAUCUUUAUGUACAGGUAGAAGAGAAGUAUUUUAAGCUAGAAGCAAUAGACUUGCACAGCUUCAACUCUGUUCUCUUACUCUAGCUCCUCUCCUAGAAAUUUGUUAUUGGUUAAUACAUAAAUGUUAGACUAAACUUGGGUAGAAGGGAUAUUUCUGUUUUCUAAUGUUUUACAGUCUGUUUUCUAACUAAUGUUCUUAGAUACUGUGUAUUUUUGUAUUUUUCUUAUAAUAUCUGGAAACACAACAUUAUGACACUUUGUAAUAAAUCAUUUUUUGAUUAA
Ictidomys tridecemlineatus (thirteen-lined ground squirrel) is the source of this 3199-nucleotide non-coding RNA. The record is from RefSeq and is a predicted model, not a curated record. Lineage: Eukaryota; Metazoa; Chordata; Mammalia; Rodentia; Sciuridae.